GGUUUGAUCAUGGCUCAGGAUGAACGCUAGCUACAGGCUUAACACAUGCAAGUCGAGGGGCAGCAUUUUAGUUUGCUUGCAAACUAAAGAUGGCGACCGGCGCACGGGUGAGUAACACGUAUCCAACCUGCCGAUAACUCGGGGAUAGCCUUUCGAAAGAAAGAUUAAUAUCCGAUAGUAUAUUAAAACCGCAUGGUUUUACUAUUAAAGAAUUUCGGUUAUCGAUGGGGAUGCGUUCCAUUAGUUUGUUGGCGGGGUAACGGCCCACCAAGACUACGAUGGAUAGGGGUUCUGAGAGGAAGGUCCCCCACAUUGGAACUGAGACACGGUCCAAACUCCUACGGGAGGCAGCAGUGAGGAAUAUUGGUCAAUGGACGAGAGUCUGAACCAGCCAAGUAGCGUGAAGGAUGACUGCCCUAUGGGUUGUAAACUUCUUUUAUAUGGGAAUAAAGUAUUCCACGUGUGGGAUUUUGUAUGUACCAUAUGAAUAAGGAUCGGCUAACUCCGUGCCAGCAGCCGCGGUAAUACGGAGGAUCCGAGCGUUAUCCGGAUUUAUUGGGUUUAAAGGGAGCGUAGGUGGAUUGUUAAGUCAGUUGUGAAAGUUUGCGGCUCAACCGUAAAAUUGCAGUUGAAACUGGCAGUCUUGAGUACAGUAGAGGUGGGCGGAAUUCGUGGUGUAGCGGUGAAAUGCUUAGAUAUCACGAAGAACUCCGAUUGCGAAGGCAGCUCACUAGACUGCAACUGACACUGAUGCUCGAAAGUGUGGGUAUCAAACAGGAUUAGAUACCCUGGUAGUCCACACAGUAAACGAUGAAUACUCGCUGUUUGCGAUAUACAGUAAGCGGCCAAGCGAAAGCAUUAAGUAUUCCACCUGGGGAGUACGCCGGCAACGGUGAAACUCAAAGGAAUUGACGGGGGCCCGCACAAGCGGAGGAACAUGUGGUUUAAUUCGAUGAUACGCGAGGAACCUUACCCGGGCUUAAAUUGCAUUUGAAUAAUCUGGAAACAGGUUAGCCGCAAGGCAAAUGUGAAGGUGCUGCAUGGUUGUCGUCAGCUCGUGCCGUGAGGUGUCGGCUUAAGUGCCAUAACGAGCGCAACCCUUAUCUUUAGUUACUAACAGGUCAUGCUGAGGACUCUAGAGAGACUGCCGUCGUAAGAUGUGAGGAAGGUGGGGAUGACGUCAAAUCAGCACGGCCCUUACGUCCGGGGCUACACACGUGUUACAAUGGGGGGUACAGAAGGCAGCUACCUGGUGACAGGAUGCUAAUCCCAAAAACCUCUCUCAGUUCGGAUCGAAGUCUGCAACCCGACUUCGUGAAGCUGGAUUCGCUAGUAAUCGCGCAUCAGCCAUGGCGCGGUGAAUACGUUCCCGGGCCUUGUACACACCGCCCGUCAAGCCAUGAAAGCCGGGGGUACCUGAAGUACGUAACCGCAAGGAGCGUCCUAGGGUAAAACUGGUAAUUGGGGCUAAGUCGUAACAAGGUAACC
Molecule: ribosomal RNA, 1488 nt
Filed under: uncultured bacterium
Lineage: Bacteria
Description: bacterial SSU rRNA
Rfam family: Bacterial small subunit ribosomal RNA
Source: RNAcentral